UUUCACCUUUGACUCAUUUGGAGAAGAGAACAAAAAAUUAAUCCAUUUUUUCCUUAUGAUAAUUUAAUGUUUUUCUACAUUUCGGUUAAUCCUUUUUUGUUUUAUAUUCUCCAUUUAAAUAUUCAUGUGGCUUCUGUUAAUUAUCGCUGGUUAAUUAGUUAACCUGCUUUUCUCUUUCACCGAGUUUUUGGAUUACCAAUGAAAGAAUAGAUCAAAUAACUGAAAAGGUCUUCAUGGUGUUUUUUUUUCUUUCUUCUUCUUCUUCUUUUUCGUCUCAGUGUAAUCAAUGAGUUGAUUUUGUGUCGAGAUUUGAGAUUGUAAAAGGUAAAGAAAAGUAUUCUGGAUAAACAAUCAAAGGUUUCAAAUUGUGUGGAAUUGGAUAUUAUAUGGUUAUCAUCAUGGAAACAUAUAUAUAUAUAAGGAACAUUCAAAGAACUUGGAUUUUCAUGAUUAAAAGGAGAAGAGAUUUUUGUUCAAAUUAAGGAAAAGAAAAAGAUGAGAACAGAGAAAUAAGGAGAGAGAGAAAAGGAAGAAGAUGUUGAAAAAUUUAUCAUCAAUCAUCUUGUUGGUGUUUCGUUUGUUACUUACCUUGUUUUAUUAUCACCAUACAUGAAUCAUUAAUGGUCUUUAAUUGAAACAAUACAACCAUCACAAUUUAUGAAUCUUGUAGUAGUCAAAAUAUCAUCACUGAAAACACUGGGUAUCAAUGAAAAUGCGGACAUUUUCCUUCUUCCAAUUUGAUUUCCACACUUACACACACACUUACACUUACACUCUCACACACAUUCACUCUCAUCUUUUUCUCUCUCACUCUCUUUCUUCAUUUAUCACUCUUUCUCUCCAUCUCUGUCUAUUCUUUCCUUCUCACCCACAACCUUAGAUACCAUAUACUCACUUGAUCAAUACUAUUGAUCAACAAAACCAAAAUUUCAACUCUCUUUCUCCAUCUCUUUCUUUUCUCUCUGUCUUCUUUUCCUCCAUGUACUCUGUGCCUUACCUUUCGCAUUCUCCCCUCUUUUCAUUACUCACACACACUUAACAAUGAAACGCAUGAUCCAUAGUAUUCAUCUUCAUCACCAACCUAAUCAUCAUCACAACAGUCAUGUUACUCCAACGCAACUCCAUGAAGGAACCAGAAAAAAUAGAAAGAGAAACCCGGAGGGAAAAUAACUACCAAAAGCAAGAGUUUCAUGAAAAGACAGACGAAUAGACAGACAAAAUAGUUUCCUGUGGCUAAGCAACAAAAAGAUUCUCUUUUCCUUUUCUCUCUCUCUCUCUUAUUUAUUGUAUACAUUAUUUCUUGACUCAUCAAUAGGUUGAACUUCCUCUUCCCAACGUUCAUGAAUUUGUGAACAGAAUCCUCGACGUAUACGAAGUGAAAACUUGAAUCAAAUGAAGAAAAGGAAAAGGAUGGAACGGAAACAAAUGAAGGUGUUUAAACUUCCAUUCUGGAACAACAAUUAUUGCUCAUAAAUUGACCAUGGAAGAUCCGAUUAUCUCUUCAUAAUUAAGAUAUUUAACCUUAUUCAUGAAUACGAAGGAAAAAUCAGUGAACAAGCAGAAAGAGAAAGAGAGGGAAACAACAAAAAACUACAGAGAUUCCAAAGCUAUCAAGUGAUUGAAAGAGAGAAAGAGAUUAUUAUUACUUCAAUUUGCCUCGAGAAUUGGAAUUGAUUUGAACUUUUUUUCUUCCUUUUAUCUUCAUUAUUCAUUGGAAUAUCAAUCAAAGUUACGUCGAAGAAAAAAACAAAACAAAAAUAAGAGCGAAAAU
This is a long non-coding RNA of Panonychus citri (citrus red mite), 1771 nucleotides long. RefSeq lists it as uncharacterized. The transcript is spliced from 3 exons. The record is from RefSeq and is a predicted model, not a curated record. NCBI's taxonomy places the organism in Eukaryota, Metazoa, Arthropoda, Arachnida, Trombidiformes, Tetranychidae.